This 253-nucleotide ribosomal RNA is filed under the name uncultured bacterium. RNAcentral's name for it is "partial 16S ribosomal RNA". It matches the Rfam family "Bacterial small subunit ribosomal RNA", at positions 524 to 776 of the family's 1533-position model. The record is from RNAcentral.
UACGUAGGGUGCAAGCGUUGUCCGGAAUUAUUGGGCGUAAAGAGCUCGUAGGCGGUCUGUUGCGUCGGCUGUGAAAACCCGGGGCUCAACCCCGGGCCUGCAGCCGAUACGGGCAGACUAGAGUUCGGCAGGGGAGACUGGAAUUCCCGGUGUAGAGGUGAAAUUCGUAGAUAUCGGGAGGAACACCGGUGGCGAAGGCGGCAUCCUGGACCAACACUGACGCUGAGGAGCGAAAGCCAGGGGAGCAAACGGG